Long non-coding RNA from Amyelois transitella, 933 nucleotides. RefSeq lists it as uncharacterized. The transcript is spliced from 11 exons. The record is from RefSeq and is a predicted model, not a curated record. NCBI's taxonomy places the organism in Eukaryota, Metazoa, Arthropoda, Insecta, Lepidoptera, Pyralidae.
AUAUUGCAUGAUGAAUUAAUAUAUAGUCUCGUUCGUAUGAUCUAAUGAUUUAAAGAUUACCGCUUUACUGAUAAACUUAAAUAAUUUAACUUCAAUCAAUUGUUUCAUUAUAUUAUUAUUUAUGAUUCUUUUACUCUUUGCAGAUAACAUACAUAACUUUCCACAUUACAAUUCUCCAGAAACUUAUAUUGACGUGAUGGGAGGUGAAAUUGCAAGACCCUCUUGUUUAUGGACAAUAAAAGACCAACACUCCACUUCCACUUUUUAUGAGAAGGGUCCCACAAAUUGCAGCUUAAAAUAUAUGCCUAGGAUUUCAGAAAAUGAUUUACUGCCAGAAAAGUGGACCCCCAUCUGAAGAUAAACUGCUAGGAAACAUAAGAAAUUUAUGAAAAUGGAUCACUGUAGUAAAUAUCUACUCAUGUAGUUGGAGCUUACAAUAUCAGCCUUAAAAAUAAGUUCCUGUGUUGUGAAGAAUAAGAAAACAAGAUUAUUAUACAACUUAAAGUUUUGGACAUAACCUAUCAAAUACUGAAUGUGUAACAUAAAAAAAAAAACUGGUUCAAUAUGCCUCACAACUGGAAUCAUUGAAUCGACUGUAUAGCUGACAUUCUUAAACAGGCAUGACGAGAGACAAACAAGAAUAUAUAAAACGAAAGAAAGACGUAUGAAAUUAACAUCAUGAUAAGAAAAGUAAGAGGAAGAAAUGUUUGUACUGUUGUGAGCUUAUGACAACAUCAAGUUAAGCAAGUAUCUUUGAUGUUUGGUCUACCUAGUUUGAAAAGCACAGAAAAUAUACCUCGACACACCCAACAUUUUGGCCAAUUGUACAGGUGGCGCCAGAACAUUAACCUGGAAUCUACCACUUAAAUUAUACAAAACAAACUCAUUCAUAUAAAUAUUUAUCAACAGAAAUAAAGUAAAAAAUUUAAUUUA